UCGAUUUGGAGUUUGUUGCCCUGAGUGAUGGGCUCCGAAGCUAACGCGAUAAAUCGACCGCCUGGGGAGUACGGCCGCAAGGUUAAAACUCAAAUGAAUUGACGGGGGCCCGCACAAGCGGUGGAGCAUGUGGUUUAAUUCGAUGCAACGCGAAGAACCUUACCUGGUCUUGACAUCCACAGAAUCUUGCAGAGAUGCGAGAGUGCCUUCGGGAACUGUGAGACAGGUGCUGCAUGGCUGUCGUCAGCUCGUGUUGUGAAAUGUUGGGUUAAGUCCCGCAACGAGCGCAACCCUUAUCCUUUGUUGCCAGCGAUUUGGUCGGGAACUCAAAGGAGACUGCCGUUGAUAAAGCGGAGGAAGGUGGGGACGACGUCAAGUCAUCAUGGCCCUUACGACCAGGGCUACACACGUGCUACAAUGGCGUAUACAAAGGGAGGCGACCUCGCGAGAGCAAGCGGACCUCAUAAAGUACGUCUAAGUCCGGAUUGGAGUCUGCAACUCGACUCCAUGAAGUCGGAAUCGCUAGUAAUCGUGAAUCAGAAUGUCACGGUGAAUACGUUCCCGGGCCU
This 569-nucleotide ribosomal RNA is filed under the name Gilliamella apicola. Its description in RNAcentral is "bacterial SSU rRNA". It matches the Rfam family "Bacterial small subunit ribosomal RNA", at positions 812 to 1381 of the family's 1533-position model. Lineage: Bacteria; Pseudomonadati; Pseudomonadota; Gammaproteobacteria; Orbales; Orbaceae. RNAcentral also lists the same sequence under 1 other name. The record is from RNAcentral.